GUGAAACAGGGUUUCACGACGCCUCGGGCUCUGCGCGUCAGAGGACCGAAGAACUCGAAGCUGCAUACAUAGUAAUCAGCCCGCCUGAGUCUCCCGUUCGAAACGUUGUGAAUUCACCGGAUCGAACCGUCCAGGACUCACACGCAACGCUAACAAACCACCGAGACAUUCUCGUUGAAGCAGUGCUUGAAGCCGGAAUUCAGCUAGCCGGAUUUAACCGGCCGGACGUAACCCAGAAUACACCGGCUGAAUCUCUGUUAGUUGCAGACGUUCCUCCCCGCACCUCAACCCCUCAGCCAGAAGCUGCAGCCCGUGCAGAGGGUCUCACCCCUCAGCGGGCAGUCUCCAGAGCAAGCAUACCAGAGCAGACCCCACCACCAGCAGCAGCAGCAGC
Fundulus heteroclitus (mummichog) is the source of this 394-nucleotide long non-coding RNA. RefSeq lists it as uncharacterized. Lineage: Eukaryota; Metazoa; Chordata; Actinopteri; Cyprinodontiformes; Fundulidae. The transcript is spliced from 4 exons. The record is from RefSeq and is a predicted model, not a curated record.